RNAcentral lists this ribosomal RNA (893 nucleotides) under Campylobacter jejuni. RNAcentral's name for it is "bacterial SSU rRNA". It matches the Rfam family "Bacterial small subunit ribosomal RNA", at positions 640 to 1533 of the family's 1533-position model. Lineage: Bacteria; Pseudomonadati; Campylobacterota; Epsilonproteobacteria; Campylobacterales; Campylobacteraceae. The record is from RNAcentral.
UCUAGAGUGAGGGAGAGGCAGAUGGAAUUGGUGGUGUAGGGGUAAAAUCCGUAGAUAUCACCAAGAAUACCCAUUGCGAAGGCGAUCUGCUGGAACUCAACUGACGCUAAGGCGCGAAAGCGUGGGGAGCAAACAGGAUUAGAUACCCUGGUAGUCCACGCCCUAAACGAUGUACACUAGUUGUUGGGGUGCUAGUCAUCUCAGUAAUGCAGCUAACGCAUUAAGUGUACCGCCUGGGGAGUACGGUCGCAAGAUUAAAACUCAAAGGAAUAGACGGGGACCCGCACAAGCGGUGGAGCAUGUGGUUUAAUUCGAAGAUACGCGAAGAACCUUACCUGGGCUUGAUAUCCUAAGAACCUUUUAGAGAUAAGAGGGUGCUAGCUUGCUAGAACUUAGAGACAGGUGCUGCACGGCUGUCGUCAGCUCGUGUCGUGAGAUGUUGGGUUAAGUCCCGCAACGAGCGCAACCCACGUAUUUAGUUGCUAACGGUUCGGCCGAGCACUCUAAAUAGACUGCCUUCGUAAGGAGGAGGAAGGUGUGGACGACGUCAAGUCAUCAUGGCCCUUAUGCCCAGGGCGACACACGUGCUACAAUGGCAUAUACAAUGAGACGCAAUACCGCGAGGUGGAGCAAAUCUAUAAAAUAUGUCCCAGUUCGGAUUGUUCUCUGCAACUCGAGAGCAUGAAGCCGGAAUCGCUAGUAAUCGUAGAUCAGCCAUGCUACGGUGAAUACGUUCCCGGGUCUUGUACUCACCGCCCGUCACACCAUGGGAGUUGAUUUCACUCGAAGCCGGAAUACUAAACUAGUUACCGUCCACAGUGGAAUCAGCGACUGGGGUGAAGUCGUAACAAGGUAACCGUAGGAGAACCUGCGGUUGGAUCACCUCCUUUCUA